Molecule: long non-coding RNA, 5665 nt
Organism: Syngnathoides biaculeatus (alligator pipefish)
Lineage: Eukaryota; Metazoa; Chordata; Actinopteri; Syngnathiformes; Syngnathidae
Exons: 4
Source: RefSeq, a predicted model, not a curated record
UGCCCCAUUUUCUUGAAUUUGGAUGUUAGCUUCCAUUCGCCCCUGUUUAUUAAUUGCGAUGCUAAUCUCUAAUUGUGUUAAUGCGUCGCGACCUAAUAAAUUGAGGGGGCAUCCGUGGCUGUAGAACUGCUUCCACAUUCGCCUUUUUAUUUGGGUCAUCGGGACUCCGCAACUCGAUAGUACGGGACAAAACUAAGGGUUGAAUUAAACCAUGAGCUCCGCGCAUGUAAACCUUUUUUUUCGGCUUGGUUUAACUGUCGCGGGGUCCCACUUUCCUAAAACGGUCAACUCAGCGCCCGUAUCAACUUGGAAAACGGUUGGUUUUCCCUGGACGAGUAAAGUUAAUUCUGGUUUCAUCAUGGGUUCAGUCUUAUGACGCAUUAAAUAAUUUUCGAGGUCGAACGUGUGUUUAAUGUCUUCUUCGACAUUUUCAUCAUUGUCGCUAUCGGAGGAGUUCAGAGGGUUGGUAACCAAUCUGCGAUCCGCGGCCCCUCUGGAGUCCCAGCCUUGUCGUUCAUCAUCAGAUGAAUCGUCAACACGGCGUCGACUAGGCUUAGCCUUGGCUUUACAAUAGCGAGCAUGAUAACCGUCUUUGCCGCAGUUAAGACACUUGCCUUCUCUGAACCACUUUUGCUUUUUGGGUGAUAAUUUCAACACGUCAAAUUGAGGUUUUUUGUUACUCCCGUUAUGUGGUCCCUCUUUUGUGUCACAAAGCUUUCCUGUAAAGUUAAUGUUUACUACAGGACGCUCUGCUUUUUUCUUCUUUUUUUUUUUUUGCUCAACGCGUUCAUAAUUUAUUUAUUUAAUUAAUUUAUUUCAAUUUUAGGACUUUGAAUUUCUCUGGCCCUAUCAAGAAGGGCCUUACAAUAAAACCACUGUAUUACAGUGGGUAUUGUCUUUUCUCUUCUGCCCGUCUUUAAUAGAUAAUUUACUGAGAAGUUUGUCCAAUUCUUCACAGUUGUCUACAUUUCCAGAAAAUCCAUACUUUUUCUGCCACUUUUGGGUGAAUUUUGUUGUUCCCUUGAAAUCAAUUUCAGCUCAACGACAUUUUUCCUUUACUUCAACAUCGUAAAGUGGACGGUUGGAAUUUUUGGUCGACAUUGCCGCCAUUUCUGAUGGUCUUAUUUAUUAUAAACGUCUAGAUAUGGUUCCUCAGUUUUGAGAAAAAUUCAAAGUGCCUGACUUCGGGUUGAAUACCAAGCUUCUACUCCCAAUUCGGAGCGGGUAUUACCUGGGUGUUUUUACUCACGAUCCUCAGUCAGUUUUAGAUUUAUCAAACUUUGGACAUUCACUCUAUACACAUUCACUCACACAGACUGAUCAAUUUCUGUGUCCUGAAACUAAGAGUUUCAACUUUUCCAAGUGUUGUACAAGCAGUGACUCCUGAAAAAUACAAAAUAUACUAGUCUUUCAACCAGAUAUUUUGUACUAUUUUUCCAAGUGUUAUAAAAACACUGACCCAUGAAAAGUAGGAAAUAUACUAGUCUUUCGACUAGAUAUUCUGUACUACUCUUCCAAGUGUUGUACAAGCACUGACUCCUGAAAAAUGGAAAAUAUACUAGUCCUUCGACUAGAUAUUCUGCACUAUUUCUCCUAAGUGUUCUAGAAACACUGACCUUUGAAAAAUAGGAAAUAUACUAGUCUUUCGACUAGAUAUUCGCACUAUCUUUCCAAGUGUUAUGCAAACACUGACCCGCGAAAAAUAGGAAAAAUACUAGUCUUUCGACUAGAUAUUGUACACUAUUUUUUCCAAGUGUUAUAAAAACACUGACCUGCGAAAAAUAGGAGCUAUACUAGUUUUUCGACAACAUAUACGGUACUACUUUUCCAAGUGUAAUGCAAACACUGACCUCUGACAAUCUCCGUUGGUUGAGACACAUGCAAUUCAUAGGAUGACGUUUGUGUUCUCCCGGCGGAGGAUGUCCGAGGGCUGGCCUCGUGGAAAGGAGGACUUUCCGGGUCUCCUGGAGACUCGGAUGGUGCACCGAUCUCAGUCGUCGUCAAUCAUCCGCCGAAAAGAAAACGUUGUCAUCCGGCUCGAAGGACCAAGUUUUAGAAUGUCAGAGAUGUUCCUAGAAAAACAGCUAAGACAAGCCUGAGGACUGUAGAGAGUGAACUCAAACCAACCAAGAUUGUCUUUUCGUGCACGGGACAGACGGAGGACACACUGUGAGAGUGCGCUACCUCAGAUUGCCAAAGUGGUAGUCCCUGUCUGCUCUUUUUUAUUGCAUUCUCAGGUCAAAGGGUUACAUGGUUCCACAGUGAAAAUGCUGACACAGAUGGCUACACCAACAGCACACAAACACUAAGGUACAUGUUUCUUAAAGGCCUGAGUGUCCUGAUAAACCCACAAGAGAAAAAGCAAGGCAUUGUUUAAAGACAUGUUUAUGGCAUUUGGGGGUAUCCUCCUGCAGUAGAAGGACGUUAUCGCCUCCCAAUGUUGAGGAGUAUCUGCUUAAGAUCAGAAGGGGAACUUGCUGAGGCCAGGAUGGAGACAUCGCUUCCCAUUGUUCAGGUGCAUCAGCUUGAGGUCGGCAGGGGGGCAUAGCCUCCCAGGUGUCACUGGGUCACACUUCAAGACACGCACACAGCUCACAAAGAGAGCAAUUCAGACUAAGACUACCAGAAACAAACGCAUGAUAAAACAAUCCUAACAGCAACUAUAGUAGUCAUGAUAUACUUUUAUCAUGAUAACUAACAUAGUAAUAUAUCUUUAUCAAAUUUCAACGGGAAUGAGGAACAAUAUUUCUCCUACUGCGCUCGCGGCAACUGUAGAAUCUCUCAUCAGCUCAUGUGAUGGCGCUACAUCUGCAGAAAACUUGAACCCGGUACAGUCCUACCGGUACCGGAAGGACGCGCCCGCCAACAUUGCUGAGAGAAUCCAGACGGACCUCAGGCAAUUUACUGGGAUGACAAACUAAUGGAGACGUUACCUGAUAAAUACGCAAAGGAUGAUCGUCUUCCCGUGUUUAUUUCGGGCGUGGCUGAGAUCAAAUUGCUCUGUGUUCCUGCCCUUCCUGUAAAGUCUUCAGAAAGAGCUGGAGAUCUUCUUUCUAAAGGUGGCCGCAUUUGCAUCCAGGAAAACCUCGGGGAAGCUCUGUUGUGCUGCACCUGUCGAAGACAUGGACAGGUUCUCCGAACUGGAUUUGACUGCUGAGCUGACGAGAGACAGCAGUUCGGAUCCUGGAGCAGCGACAUCAUGUAAUUGAACUUCUGACAACCAUCAAGACAGAUUUGCGAGCACGGAGGCGGGCAAGCGCGGUCGCACUCGUCAAAUGUCAGUGAAUGCAACACCAUAUCACCCCCAAGAAAAUGGGGAAGUUGAGAGGAUGAAUAAAGGAGGUUGAGGGUCGAGAACAGGUGCUCAAUGGAGGCAUGACACCAGAUCAGGAGGAGAUGCAAGUUAAACAUGAGCCAGUCAACAAACAAAAAAUGCCAGUAAUGCCACCAUCUCUUCCAAGCGACAACAACCAAGCAGCACACCACUACCAGUGACCAAUUAGAGGGAGACGACCUCGGAGGGUUUUCACAUACGAUGGGCUUGGCCACCCGACCUGUUAUAGCGCUGGACCUCCAAGUAACAUGUACUGGUACCCUCCAGUGCCCCUUGUGCCCUAUGGAGUGAUGCCAACAGCGAGUACGUGGAUGCCUGCACAGUAUUCCUUCAACUACCAGUCUGCCAUGCCCGGGUCCUGAAUGCAGAACACCCCCAAACUCCUUGACACCAAUCCCCCUUUUCCCCUGUACAGAUAUACACUGUUUACACACACACACUACACAAAACAUUCAUGGACUGUAUAUGAUGCAUACAUGCACGAUACACAGAUCCUGGACUCUGUGAUGAGUCGAAUGCCACAACAUGCUUCUGUACUUGGGACUUUCUGUCAAACUGAGAACUAUGCCAAAAAUGUAUGACUGUUCAACAAGUUCACUUGUUUCAUACAUGUACACCUUGCGUAUACUCUGGACUGUUAGUGAAACAACUGAGUGCUUUAGCCUUGAUUGUACAUUGUUAUGGGCCUUAUGAUAUAUGUAUAUGUAAAAAAAAAUUUUUUUUGAUGAUUGGAGGAUUUAUUUUAGUUCAAUGUCGGUGAUGGCAUCUGUUUUGAAGGGGAGUGUGUUGUGAAAUGAGCAAUUCUUUGUGUUGAAAGUUUUUUUCUUUUCAUCUUUUCUGUGAAGCUUAAGUAUUGCAAAGUAUGUUUUCUUUUUCCUGAUCUUUAUUAUUUUCUGUUAUGCCAAAGAAGUGGAAAGGAAUAUUGUUUCUCUUUGAUCGACGAAUCGGAUGUCGAUUGGUGUGACUGAUUACUCGAUGAUCGAUUGUUGGUGUCUCAGUCUUUGACAGAGAGCAUGCGAGUGCCCCCUCAUCACUGCACAUUGUGCCCGAAAGACAAAGGCAUCGCGUUGUGAAUCCAUGUCUCUUCACAGGACCGCUACAUCUCAACAAGACAAUUACACCAAGCAGACUCGUAAACAUGCAAAGUCUUGUUUCCAAACCAACAAAGUUAAUGUCAUUACGAGUCCAGCCCAAUCCCUGGACCUAAAUCCAAUCAAGAAUUGUGGGGUGACAUCAAAGUGUUGUUUCUAAAACAAAACCAAUAAAUGUAAAUAAUUGUGGAAUGUCAGUAGGAAAUUUUGGAGUGGAAUAACACCUGAAAUGUGCCACAAGUUAGUUGACACCAUGCCACACAGAUGUGAAGUAGUCAUACAAAACUGUGGUCAUACAACUAAAUAUUAGUUUUGUGAUUCAAAGGAUUGGUAAAUUGUUCCAUCAAAGAUCCAAUCCAUUUUAUGAGCCGCUUAUCCUCAACAGGAUUGCAGAAGCCCUGGAGCCAAUCCCAGCAUCAUCGGGCAGGGUACAGCCUGAAAUGGUUGCCAGCCAAUCACAUGGAGAUGGACAUGGAGAUAGAUAACAGUUGCAGCCACACUGAUAAUCACACCUCGGAGCAAUUUAGAGUCUCCAAUUCAUGCAUGUUUUUGGGAUGUGGGAGGAAACCGGAGUGCCUGGAGAAAACCCACGCAAUGAUGGGGAGAACAUGCAAAUGCCACACAGGCAGGGCCAGGAUUUGAACCCCAUUCCUCAGAACUGUGAGGCCAACACUUUACAGGUACUCCACCGUGUCGCGGGAUUGUGAAAUCCUAGAAACAAAAAAAAUGGUACAAAAUUGUUUGGAAUUUGUAAAGUCAAUAGCAGACUGCUUUUUUUUUUUUAACACACUCCGUUAAACAAAUAGCCCAUUUGCACGCCCUGAAGUGUGUAUAUAUCACGAAGGCUGGGUCUUGUCAUGGACGUGUCCUUCCUCAACCCAGUGCACACCUGCUCCAGUGAGCUGUCACACUCACCUGCUUCUUGUUGGGAUGAUUACGGUUUAGAUAAAUUGCCAUGCGUGUGGUCUGGUCCUUCACUAGAUCGUUCUACCUUGAUGUCAUGUUCUCGCAAUUCCAUGUCUUUGUCUUUGAUUCUCUCUGUAUUGAACCCUGCUUCACUGAUGACCUUGGUUUUUCGUCUAGUGAUCCAACACUGUUGCCUGUUUGGACUGCCUGUCUGUGUAUCAACCUUGGACUGAAUAAAUAACCUCCCCGAACUGUUACUGGUCUCGUGAGUCGUGCAUAUUUGGUUCAGCCUCGAGUUCUGGUCAUAACAGAAUAAUCUGGCGAUGACAUUGAC